Molecule: ribosomal RNA, 253 nt
Filed under: uncultured bacterium
Lineage: Bacteria
Description: partial 16S ribosomal RNA
Rfam family: Bacterial small subunit ribosomal RNA
Source: RNAcentral
CACGAAGAGGGCUAGCGUUGUUCGGAAUUACUGGGCGUAAAGCGUGCGUAGGCGGGGGACUAAGUCAGGUGUGAAAUCCCGGGGCUCAACCUCGGAACUGAAUUUGAUACUAGUUGCCUAGAGACCGGGAGAGGUGAGCGGAAUACCGAGUGUAGAGGUGAAAUUCGUAGAUAUUCGGUGGAACACCAGUGGCGAAGGCGGCUCACUGGACCGGUACUGACGCUGAGGCACGAAAGCGUCGGGAGCAAACAGG